Molecule: long non-coding RNA, 1522 nt
Filed under: Panax ginseng (ginseng)
Lineage: Eukaryota; Viridiplantae; Streptophyta; Magnoliopsida; Apiales; Araliaceae
Description: long non-coding RNA (PGIN_LNC015530)
Source: RNAcentral
GGCUCUUGGUGUAAUCUUUUUGACAAAAAAAAUUGUUAACAGAAGAAUUAUGUUUUGCCUCCUUUUUAACUGUAUUGCAACAUAUUCAAGUAGAAAUUUCUGAAAGGUCAUUAAAAAAAUUGUUGGAAUACAUGACUACCUCUUUUAAAGGAUUCUGUUCGUUGUGAGGAUAUCCUUGUUCCCCUGUUGUUGUUCAACACUUCCUUGAUGUCUUGUCCACGUUCAGAAAAUUUCACCCUAACAUGAAGCAGUUGAAAAACAUUUUAACAAGAUUGAUAAUAAAUGGAAAGGUAACAAGUUGAUGUAAAACAAUUAACUGCUACGAAAUAGCAAACAAUCAUUUUGCACAAAAUGACCGAAUAAAGAUUACUGAGACAUUAUGUCAAGUCAGCACUAUCACCAACUGCCUGAAAUUGCAUAACUAGUCAAGAAAAUAAAAUAAUACUGUAAAAAGAUUAGAGUUCAUUUGUCAGUAUGUAUUAUGCAGUGGAAGUCAUUCACUAAUCAGAACAAGGUUGCUAAAUCAAUCUAUCCACAGCAAGGUCACAUAAACCCAAUGCUACAAUUCUCCAAGCGCUUAGCUGCAAAAGGCCUUAGAGUCACACCAGUCACCACCACAGCUCAUAGGUAGCAUAAUGUGUCUAAUUGAUUAUACGGAUAUAAUCAUAAUGUGUAAGAUAACAAUACUACUGUAAGAUAACAAUACAGGUAGCAUAAUUUUAUUUUUAUUUCUACCAGGAUAAAGUUUCAUCAUAAAUUACAUCCAACCAAAAAUAUAAUGAUACAGAAAUAAAUACUUACAAAACAGCUAGGGCAUGCAUUAGACCAAUCACUUCCGGUAUCUUUCCUGGUAACUUGUUGCCUUACAGAGACCUGGCAAAGAGAAAUUGAACGAUUAAUUCCAUCAUCUCAAGUACAAAAUUGGCACAAUUGAAUACAAAAGAUCUGACUAUACCCAUAGUCGCGAUCUUUCGAUGGAAACGUUCGAGCCCAGGAGUCGCAGUAGCCCUAACACUGACCGGAGAUCGCCAGCCAACACUAUAAAAGCCCUAGAUUUAUCCCAAAAAAAGGCAUCAUUAGCAGCAGUUUGAGAUCCAACAGAGACGCUCAUAAAAGCCCUAGAUUUAUCCAAAUUUCUCAAACCAAAACCUCGAAUUCCAUGCUUGAAACCGUGAAGCAAACCGAAUUAAAGCUCCUCAACGAUUCUAAAGCUUCAAAAUGGCGAGAUUUUGAGGAGAAAUUGAAGUUGUGAGCAGCAUUAGCAACUCCCGAUUCUCUACAAACAUCGCCAGCGACGGCGGCAUCGACACACCAGACUUUGACGAACUGGACAGGUCGAUGUUUCCUCCUUUCAGAAUCGCAGUCAUCAAAUCGAACGGAGACACAAUCAAAGAGCAGAUAGAGAGAAGGAAAACUGAAAAAGAAAAGGAACGAAGAGAGGAAACAGAAGAGAGGGAACAAAAACGAAAGCGAGAGAAGGAAACUGAAGAGAGGGAACAAAAUUUAAGCUCCGUCUUUUUAU